GGCUGCUUCUUUUUCUCUCUGGGCACGUUGUUCAUUCCUCUUCCUAAAAUGGCUUCUUCUCCUUUAGUUGUUGCAAUUAUAGGAGAGGAGAAUCCAUUUUAGGAAGGGAAUGAAUACUGUGUCGGUUUUACGAGGGAGACAAUC
This 144-nucleotide microRNA precursor is filed under the name Populus trichocarpa (black cottonwood). RNAcentral's name for it is "miR6445b stem-loop (ptc-MIR6445b)". The stretch from base 24 to 121 matches the Rfam family "MIR6445 microRNA precursor family". The record is from miRBase by way of RNAcentral. Lineage: Eukaryota; Viridiplantae; Streptophyta; Magnoliopsida; Malpighiales; Salicaceae.